This 437-nucleotide long non-coding RNA is filed under the name Calidris pugnax (ruff). RNAcentral's name for it is "lncRNA (ENSCPUG00000013177.1)". The record is from RNAcentral. Lineage: Eukaryota; Metazoa; Chordata; Aves; Charadriiformes; Scolopacidae.
AAUUCAAACCCUUGAACAAAAAAACCUCGGAUUUACCAGAAUAUCUUAAAACUGUUUCAGAAACCACCGUAGACUUUGCGAUAAGCUGAAAGUACCACAGACUCCUCAGAGGUGGUUGAUCCACUGAGUACCUGCAGGCCUUCCAGCAGUGAUAGGUUGGGAAGGAGAGAUGUUGAGAGAGUACAGAAGAAGAGGCCUGCAUCACUUGCAGAUAAGUUUAUUGUCGUUAUCCAAAGCUCUGCAGGAUGGAUAUGCAGAACUUCAUGUGUCCUACUUUACCAUGACACCUCAUCCCAUGGCAGUCCGUGCUCCCAAUUGUUUGAAUCCUUCUUAAAACUCUUAACUGGGGCACAGAUAUCAGCAACCCAGAAGACUUGCAGAAGACGUGACCAAAAGUGGGAUGGAGAGAGCAACCAUACAGAGGAGCAUUUCUUUCA